This 1321-nucleotide long non-coding RNA is filed under the name Equus caballus (horse). RNAcentral's name for it is "lncRNA (ENSECAG00000044270.1)". Lineage: Eukaryota; Metazoa; Chordata; Mammalia; Perissodactyla; Equidae. The record is from RNAcentral.
CUUUAAAAAUGAGAGAGAGAGAAAGAAAGACUUUCUCAGACAAACAAAAACGGAGGGAAUUUACCACCAGUCGGCCUACUCUGCAAAAACUGUUAAAAGCUGUUCAGAGAGAAGGAAAAUGAUACAGCUCAGACAUUUGGAUCCACAUAAUCAAAGGAAGAACGUCUGAGAAGGAUUCUAGGAAGAAAAUAAGCAGUGAUGUGAGAGAGAGAAAGAGUAGCAGAGGACUGAGGGCCUACGCAGAUAGCGUGACUCUGGAGGAGGAAACGUGGGAGCUGAGGUCCGAAGGAGGAGAAGAAGCCAGCCUCGCCCAGAGCAUCCCAGGAAGAGGAAGUGCAAAGUGUUGGAGGACCUGAAAGAACAGGGAGGCUGGAGAGCAGUGAACAAGAGAGAUGCAGGAAAGAAAACUGGAACAGGAGUGAAAAGACUGAAUUCUUAUGCCAGCUGUGUGAUCUCAGACUGCAGUUUGAUGAGUUUGGACUAACGCAUACCUGCUGUGCCCACCACCACAAGCAAGAGAGAACAUUUCCAUGACCUCCAAAGUCCCUCAUGCCCCUUUUACCAUCAAGCCCUUCUCACAUCCAUGACCCUAGGCACUACUGCUCUGCUUUUGAUCAUGACCAUUUUGCCUUUUCCAGAAUCUCAUAUAAAUGAAAUCAUACACUGUGUAGUCUUUUGUGUCUGUUUUACUUAUGACGUUUCUGAAUUCAUCAACGUUUUACUUAUGAUGUUUCUGAAUUCAUCCACGUUGUUGCGUGUAGCAGUAGUCUUCCAGUGAAUGAGUAUGUCACAAUUGGUUUAUCCAUUAACCAAUUGAUGGGCACUUGGGAUGUUUCCAGUCUGGGGCUAUUAUGAAUAAAGCUACUGAGAAAAUUCAUGUAACAAGUAAAUCUUUGUGUAGACAUGUUUUAAUUUCUGUUGGAUAAAUAUGUAAGAAUGGGAUUUCCAGGUCAUAUAGUAACUUUAUAAGAAGCUGCCAAACUGUUUUCCAAAGUGGCUGCAUCAUUUUUGCAUUCCCACCAGCAAUGUAGGAAAGUUCCAGCAGCUCCACAUCCUUAUCAACACUUCUUAUUGCCAGUCUCUAAUUUUGGCAUUCCACUGAAUGUUUAACGAUAUUUCACUCUGGUUUUCAUUUGCAUCUCCCUAAUGACUAAAUAAUGUUGAGCCUCUUUUCAUGUGCUUAUUUGUCAUUCAUUUAUUUUCUUCGACGAAGCGUCUAUCUAAAUCUUUCGUAUUUUUCAAAAGAUGGAGUCAUUUGUCUUCUUAUCAUUUAAUUUUGAGUUCUUUUUUGGACACAAAGCUUUUAUUAGCCACAUGUUUU